GUCUCUUGUUUACUCUCAGCCCAUUGUUCCCGGGGCUGCAGGACUACAUUCUCAGGGUGUGCAGAGGUGGUGAUACUGCACCUGCAGGAACUGGAAUGUCUCCUUAAUCUGGUCCAGGGGCUCCAGGAUAGUGAGCUUGAAGUGCUGCCCUGAAGCUUGGUGUCUGGUGUCAAUGGAAAAGAAGCAAAAUUCUGUCAAAUAAUUUAAAGAGGUUUAUUGUGAGCCAAAUUUCAGACCAUGGCCCAAGCAAUGCCCAAGAAGCCUUGAGAAAGUGGACUGGCCAUGGUUGGGUUACACUUCCAUUUUAUUCAUUUCAGGAAGACAAGGAUUAAAGUUGCACAAACUAUCUGGACAAAACAGGGCUGCUCCACAGAGGACAAUCCUGCAGGCACCCUCUUUUCCUCUGGCCUAGGGCAUGUCAUGGCUCCCUGCCCAGCAUGCAUGCACCUGGAACUGCAGGCCUGGCCAUUCAGGACCCCUCCUCCAAGCUACAUUCUUUCUUGGUCUCUUUUUUUCCUUCCUCUGAGUCUUUGAAAAGGGCACUCCAGCCCACUAUAGAGUUCUCUCGGUACUUCCGUGCCUGCAGGCUUCUGGUCACCAGGGACACCUAAGCUCACAGUAGGUAGCAUGGGUCCCACCCCACAUUGCUGCUUGGGGCUGGCCCAAUCACUUCCUGGAGGAUGUGGGUCACAGGUAACCCACUGAUGCUGUGAUUCCUGCUCUUGCAGCCCUGGCUCCCACAGGCUUCUAGUGCUGGUUGUAUUAACACCCAGAUGCAUACUUUGUUACCUACUUAACUAGUGCCCUCCCUGCUCUGCCCUGCAAGGGAUGAGGACAUCAGCCAGAAGCCAGACAAUAGCCUGUAUAAUUCACAAUAACUCAUCAGUACAGUGUAAGGAUGCAAUGAAAGAGUAUAAUAUAAAGUAAAUUUUUAAAAAUCAAAAUACAAUUACUCUU
Non-coding RNA from Microcebus murinus (gray mouse lemur), 957 nucleotides. The record is from RefSeq and is a predicted model, not a curated record. NCBI's taxonomy places the organism in Eukaryota, Metazoa, Chordata, Mammalia, Primates, Cheirogaleidae.